This 203-nucleotide ribosomal RNA is filed under the name uncultured bacterium. Its description in RNAcentral is "partial 16S ribosomal RNA". It matches the Rfam family "Bacterial small subunit ribosomal RNA", at positions 128 to 334 of the family's 1533-position model. The record is from RNAcentral.
CGCCGAUGGAGGGGGAUAACUACUGGAAACGGUAGCUAAUACCGCAUAACGUCGCAAGACCAAAGAGGGGACCUUCGGGCCUCUUGCCAUCGGAUGUGCCCAGAUGGGAUUAGCUAGUAGGUGGGGUAACGGCUCACCUAGGCGACGAUCCCUAGCUGGUCUGAGAGGAUGACCAGCCACACUGGAACUGAGACACGGUCCAG